GCCAUCACCAGAGUUUUGCCCCCAAGCUCCUGGUAUGGCACCUGCAGGGCACAAGCAGAAUCAGAGGGGGCCAGAGCGACUCACGCACCUCCAGGGGUGCUAUGGGCAGGGGCCUGCAUUCCAGCCCACAGGGUCCAGCUCAGGCCCCACGCAUCCUGGGCAAGACAUACCAGAAGUACGGUCCAGGCAGACAGGAGCAGAGUGAGCCCACAGAGGUGGAGAGAGAAAGAAGAAAGUGAUGUAAGAGAAAAUCCUGCAGCUCAAACCAGCCCCUGAAGUCACCACAGCCACUCCUCAAGACCAGGAAGGGCUACACCCAAGUCAUCCUGGAACCCCUCCCAACACACUCUCACACUCACACACACUGCAGGUUCCUUUUGGGCCCACAUACAUACACAUACCUGCAUGUGCAAGGACAUAUACACACACACAUGCACUCAAAGGCCAUUUAGAUCCCUGGCUUCUGAGAUCAAGCCCUUCCCUCCAUCCUCCAUAUGGAUUCCUUGAGCAAGAGAUUCCUCCUAGUCACCCCCAAACAAACAUGGGGGAAAUGGAAGCACACAGAGGCCUCUGCAAACUUAAAAGAAGAAAAGGAGCUUUCUAGGCUGACCAACACCAAAAGACAGGGGAAAAUAAAUUAUGAUAUGAUUAAUGAUGGA
This 659-nucleotide long non-coding RNA is filed under the name Homo sapiens (human). RNAcentral describes it as "HSALNT0297488". Lineage: Eukaryota; Metazoa; Chordata; Mammalia; Primates; Hominidae. The record is from RNAcentral.